UUAUACAAUGAAGAGUUUGAUCCUGGCUCAGGAUGAACGCUAGCGGCAGGCCUAACACAUGCAAGUCGAGGGGCAGCGGGCCGGUCAGCGAUGACCGGUGCCGGCGA
This 107-nucleotide ribosomal RNA is filed under the name Muribaculum sp. An289. RNAcentral's name for it is "partial 16S ribosomal RNA". It matches the Rfam family "Bacterial small subunit ribosomal RNA", at positions 1 to 101 of the family's 1533-position model. The record is from RNAcentral. Lineage: Bacteria; Pseudomonadati; Bacteroidota; Bacteroidia; Bacteroidales; Muribaculaceae.